This 327-nucleotide ribosomal RNA is filed under the name Glissomonadida sp. RNAcentral's name for it is "SSU rRNA". It matches the Rfam family "Eukaryotic small subunit ribosomal RNA", at positions 633 to 955 of the family's 1831-position model. RNAcentral also lists the same sequence under 1 other name. The record is from RNAcentral. Lineage: Eukaryota; Cercozoa; Glissomonadida.
GAUUUCUGGUGUGAUUCGCUUGACCCGUCGUGUCUGACAUGUAUGAGUGUCGAUGCAGAUCUGCCAUCACUUCUAGGUAGGCUUCAUUCUCUUCAUUGAGCAGUGAAUGUCAUGUCUAGAUCUUUUACUUUGAAAAAAUUAGAGUGUUUCAAGCAGGCUUCUUGCUAUGAAUACAUUAGCAUGGAAUAAUAAUUUAGGACUUUUGUUCUAUUUUGUUGGUUUCUAGAAUGGAAGUAAUGAUUGAUAGGGAUAGUUGGGGGUGCUAGUAUUCAGUGGCCAGAGGUGAAAUUCUCGGAUUCACUGAAGACUAACUUAUGCGAAAGCAUU